RNAcentral lists this ribosomal RNA (596 nucleotides) under uncultured bacterium. Its description in RNAcentral is "bacterial SSU rRNA". It matches the Rfam family "Bacterial small subunit ribosomal RNA", at positions 338 to 946 of the family's 1533-position model. The record is from RNAcentral.
CCUACGGGAGGCAGCAGUGGGGAAUUUUCCGCAAUGGGCGAAAGCCUGACGGAGCAAUACCGCGUGAGGGAAGAAUGCCUACGGGUUGUAAACCUCUUUUAUCAGGGAGGAACAAAAUGACGUGUACCUGAUGAAUAAGCAUCGGCUAACUCUGUGCCAGCAGCCGCGGUAAGACAGAGGAUGCAAGUGUUAUCCGGAAUUACUGGGCGUAAAGCGUCUGUAGGUCGUUGAACAAGUCAACUGUUAAAUCUUGAAGCUCAACUUCAAAAUCGCAGUCGAAACUGUUUGACUAGAGUAUAGUAGAGGUAAAGGGAAUUUCCAGUGGAGCGGUGAAAUGCGUAGAUAUUGGAAAGAACACCGAUGGCGAAAGCACUUUACUGGGCUAUUACUGACACUCAGAGACGACAGCUAGGGUAGCAAAUGGGAUUAGAUACCCCAGUAGUCCUAGCCGUAAACUAUGGAUACUAGAUGUUGAACAGAUCGACCUGUGCAGUAUUAAAGCUAACGCGUUAAGUAUCCCGCCUGGGAAGUAUGCUCGCAAGAGUGAAACUUAAAGGAAUUGACGGCUGAGAGCGACGACGACGACGAGAGGAGAG